Molecule: ribosomal RNA, 495 nt
Filed under: uncultured crenarchaeote
Lineage: Archaea; Thermoproteati; Thermoproteota
Description: bacterial SSU rRNA
Rfam family: Archaeal small subunit ribosomal RNA
Source: RNAcentral
AGGAAUUGGCGGGGGAGCACCACAAGGGGUGAAGCUUGCGGUUUAAUUGGAGUCAACACCGGGAACCUUACCAGGGGCGACAGCUGGAUGAAGGUCAGAUUAAAGGUCUUACCGGACUAGCUGAGAGGGGUGCAUGGCCGUCGCCAGCUCGUGCCGUGAGGUGUCCUGCUAAGUCAGGUAACGAGCGAGAUCCCUGCCCUUAGUUGCUACAGUUACUCUCAGGAGUAGCUGGGCUAACUAGGGGGACCGCCACUGCUGAAGUGGAGGAAGGAGGGGGCCACGGCAGGUCAGUAUGCCCCGAAACCCUAGGGCUACACGCGGGCUGCAAUGGUAGUGACAACGGGUUCCGAACUUGAAAGAGAGAGGCAAUCCCUAAACGCUACCACAGUUAUGAUUGAGGGCUGCAACUCGCCCUCAUGAAUAUGGAAUCCCUAGUAACCGCGCGUCACAACCGCGCAGUGAAUACGUCCCUGCUCCUUGCACACACCGCCCGUC